Long non-coding RNA from Macaca mulatta (Rhesus monkey), 223 nucleotides. RefSeq lists it as uncharacterized. The record is from RefSeq and is a predicted model, not a curated record. NCBI's taxonomy places the organism in Eukaryota, Metazoa, Chordata, Mammalia, Primates, Cercopithecidae.
UUCGGACGGGCUCCCGAGGGACCCCAUGGAUAUUACACUGUAAAAAUGGUCCCUCUUUAGAAGACACUUUUCUGCCAACAACAUAAUUCCAGGAGAUUAAAGAUGCAAUUCAGGUGAACUGUUGCACAGUAACUCCAUGUCAACAGCUGAACUCUGAUCGGGGCAAGGGAUAUAUAGGCAAUGAAAGGGGAGAAGAAUCAGAAGAGACGGAGAAGGAGCAUGC